UUUUUUUUUUGGACCAAAUUAUUCUCAAUAACUUCUAACAGCAAACAAAUGUAACAAAACUUGCAUAAUACAAUAAUGUGGUUUUGAGAAUAUCAAAUAACUUUGAAUGUUCGACAAACAAAGACUUAAAUGUUACAAAACUCACAAAAAUACCAAAAUUAGUAUUUUAAAUGAAAUUAUACUUUUAGAAUUACCAUGUAAUUAUUUUUCAACUUAAUUUCUACUAACAACAUUGGCAAAUCAUCCUUAUGCACUUUGCAUAUUCAGGAACCAUACACGGCAUUAUAUGACAAUCUUCGUCAUCCUCACAUAAAUAAACUCCUGUGACAACAAUUAUUAAAAAGUAAUGUUAAUAAUAAGGAAUGAAAUAUUACGUAUACGACAAAAUAAUUUCGAAAAAUAUAGUAUAUAUUGGACUUACCAUCGGUUGCCAUGAUAAAAAUGAAAAGAAAAAGUAUCACUACAUAAAAAUACUUGCAAGUUUCAACCAUAUUAUUC
Molecule: long non-coding RNA, 498 nt
Filed under: Medicago truncatula (barrel medic)
Lineage: Eukaryota; Viridiplantae; Streptophyta; Magnoliopsida; Fabales; Fabaceae
Description: lncRNA gene10322
Source: RNAcentral